Molecule: long non-coding RNA, 314 nt
Filed under: Elaeis guineensis (African oil palm)
Lineage: Eukaryota; Viridiplantae; Streptophyta; Magnoliopsida; Arecales; Arecaceae
Description: long non-coding RNA (EGUI_LNC076364)
Source: RNAcentral
CCUCAAGGAUUGGAGCUCGUCGGAGCCUUGAACCGAAAUGACCUGGGCACUUUUGGACAACUAUUUCUGAAGGCGAGCAACCUCAUCGAUCGCCAUCUUGAGCCUCCUUCUGUAGUUGUCUAUUUGCCCGCACCAGCCGACUUGGUGAGUGUUGUAAUUCAUCUCGACGUCCUGUAGCCACUUUUGGAGGUCGGAGAAUUUCUUCGACCAGUCCCAGCCGUGGUCGGCCUGAGUUGUAAGCCAGGACGAGCUCCCUUCCAAUUGGCCGAUCUUCUCCCAUGCGGCCGCCAACUCGACCUUGAGGGAGCUGAUCU